RNAcentral lists this ribosomal RNA (756 nucleotides) under uncultured Enterobacteriaceae bacterium. Its description in RNAcentral is "bacterial SSU rRNA". It matches the Rfam family "Bacterial small subunit ribosomal RNA", at positions 28 to 776 of the family's 1533-position model. Lineage: Bacteria; Pseudomonadati; Pseudomonadota; Gammaproteobacteria; Enterobacterales; Enterobacteriaceae. The record is from RNAcentral.
AUUGAACGCUGGCGGCAGGCCUAACACAUGCAAGUCGAGCGGCAGCGGAAAGUAGCUUGCUACUUUGCCGGCGAGCGGCGGACGGGUGAGUAAUGUCUGGGAAACUGCCUGAUGGAGGGGGAUAACUACUGGAAACGAUAGCUAAUACCGCAUGACCUCGAAAGAGCAAAGUGGGGGAUCUUCGGACCUCACGCCAUCGGAUGUGCCCAGAUGGGAUUAGCUAGUAGGUGAGGUAAUGGCUCACCUAGGCGACGAUCCCUAGCUGGUCUGAGAGGAUGACCAGCCACACUGGAACUGAGACACGGUCCAGACUCCUACGGGAGGCAGCAGUGGGGAAUAUUGCACAAUGGGCGCAAGCCUGAUGCAGCCAUGCCGCGUGUGUGAAGAAGGCCUUAGGGUUGUAAAGCACUUUCAGCGAGGAGGAAGGCACCAUACUUAAUACGUGUGGUGAUUGACGUUACUCGCAGAAGAAGCACCGGCUAACUCCGUGCCAGCAGCCGCGGUAAUACGGAGGGUGCAAGCGUUAAUCGGAAUUACUGGGCGUAAAGCGCACGCAGGCGGUUUGUUAAGUCAGAUGUGAAAUCCCCGCGCUUAACGUGGGAACUGCAUUUGAAACUGGCAAGCUAGAGUCUUGUAGAGGGGGGUAGAAUUCCAGGUGUAGCGGUGAAAUGCGUAGAGAUCUGGAGGAAUCCGGUGGCGAAGGCGGCCCCCUGGACAAAGACUGACGCUCAGGUGCGAAACGUGGGUGCAAGCAGG